This 432-nucleotide ribosomal RNA is filed under the name uncultured bacterium. RNAcentral describes it as "partial 16S ribosomal RNA". It matches the Rfam family "Bacterial small subunit ribosomal RNA", at positions 29 to 508 of the family's 1533-position model. The record is from RNAcentral.
AACGAACGCUGGCGGCAGGCUUAACACAUGCAAGUCGAACGCCCCGCAAGGGGAGUGGCAGACGGGUGAGUAACGCGUGGGAACAUACCCUUUCCUGCGGAAUAGCUCCGGGAAACUGGAAUUAAUACCGCAUACGCCCUACGGGGGAAAGAUUUAUCGGGGAAGGAUUGGCCCGCGUUGGAUUAGCUAGUUGGUGGGGUAAAGGCCUACCAAGGCGACGAUCCAUAGCUGGUCUGAGAGGAUGAUCAGCCACAUUGGGACUGAGACACGGCCCAAACUCCUACGGGAGGCAGCAGUGGGGAAUAUUGGACAAUGGGCGCAAGCCUGAUCCAGCCAUGCCGCGUGAGUGAUGAAGGCCUUAGGGUUGUAAAGCUCUUUCACCGAUGAAGAUAAUGACGGUAGUCGGAGAAGAAGCCCCGGCUAACUUCGUGC